RNAcentral lists this ribosomal RNA (739 nucleotides) under Bacillus subtilis. Its description in RNAcentral is "bacterial SSU rRNA". It matches the Rfam family "Bacterial small subunit ribosomal RNA", at positions 39 to 752 of the family's 1533-position model. Lineage: Bacteria; Bacillati; Bacillota; Bacilli; Caryophanales; Bacillaceae. The record is from RNAcentral.
GGGGAUUCCUUAAGCCUAAACACUGCAGUCGAGCGGACAGUAUAGGGAGCUUUGCUCCCUGAUGUUAGCGGCGGACGGGUGAGUAACACGUGGGUAACCUGCCUGUAAGACUGGGAUAACUCCGGGAAACCGGGGCUAAUACCGGAUGCUUGUUUGAACCGCAUGGUUCAAACAUAAAAGGUGGCUUCGGCUACCACUUACAGAUGGACCCGCGGCGCAUUAGCUAGUUGGUGAGGUAAUGGCUCACCAAGGCGACGAUGCGUAGCCGACCUGAGAGGGUGAUCGGCCACACUGGGACUGAGACACGGCCCAGACUCCUACGGGAGGCAGCAGUAGGGAAUCUUCCGCAAUGGACGAAAGUCUGACGGAGCAACGCCGCGUGAGUGAUGAAGGUUUUCGGAUCGUAAAGCUCUGUUGUUAGGGAAGAACAAGUACCGUUCGAAUAGGGCGGUACCUUGACGGUACCUAACCAGAAAGCCACGGCUAACUACGUGCCAGCAGCCGCGGUAAUACGUAGGUGGCAAGCGUUGUCCGGAAUUAUUGGGCGUAAAGGGCUCGCAGGCGGUUUCUUAAGUCUGAUGUGAAAGCCCCCGGCUCAACCGGGGAGGGUCAUUGGAAACUGGGGAACUUGAGUGCAGAAGAGGAGAGUGGAAUUCCACGUGUAGCGGUGAAAUGCGUAGAGAUGUGGAGGAACACCAGUGGCGAAGGCGACUCUCUGGUCUGUAACUGACGCUGAGGA